Molecule: ribosomal RNA, 440 nt
Filed under: uncultured bacterium
Lineage: Bacteria
Description: partial 16S ribosomal RNA
Rfam family: Bacterial small subunit ribosomal RNA
Source: RNAcentral
CUACGGGGCGGCACCAGUGGGGAAUAUUGCACAAUGGACGAAAGUCUGAUGCAGCAACGCCGCGUGGAGGAUGACACAUUUCGGUGCGUAAACUCCUUUUAUAUAGGAAGAUAAUGACGGUACUAUAUGAAUAAGCGCCGGCUAACUCCGUGCCAGCAGCCGCGGUAAUACGGAGGGCGCAAGCGUUACUCGGAAUCACUGGGCGUAAAGAGCGUGUAGGCGGAUAGAUAAGUCAGGAGUGAAAUCCUAUGGCUCAACCAUAGAACUGCUCUUGAAACUGUCUAUCUAGAAUAUGGGAGAGGUAGAUGGAAUUUCUGGUGUAGGGGUAAAAUCCGUAGAGAUCAGAAGGAAUACCGAUUGCGAAGGCGAUCUACUGGAACAUUAUUGACGCUGAGACGCGAAAGCGUGGGGAGCAAACAGGAUUAGAUACCCCAGUAGUC